Rattus norvegicus (Norway rat) is the source of this 214-nucleotide non-coding RNA. The record is from RefSeq and is a predicted model, not a curated record. NCBI's taxonomy places the organism in Eukaryota, Metazoa, Chordata, Mammalia, Rodentia, Muridae.
AGCUCACCCAUAAUUGCCUGUUGGACUGACCUCCAGAUGGACCACCAGGAGCACCCAGAAGGGCUGACUAGCAGAGUGCAGGUUCAGGUGUCCCCAGGAGGCCAGAAGACAUUGGAUCCCCUGGAGCUGGAGUUAGAGGCAUCUGGUGUGAGCCUCUCAAUGUGGCCUCUGGAAACCACAUAUCUUCCUCAAGAACAAGACACACUGUCUUUUA